ACGGGUGAGUAACGCGUAAGUAACCUGUCCCUAAGUAGGGGAUAACUCUGAGAAAUCGGAGCUAAUACCUUAUGUGGUGAUGUAAGGUAAAGCCCCGCUUAGGGAGGGGCUUGCGUCCUAUCAGGUAGUUGGUGGGGUAACGGCUCACCAAGCUGAAGACGGGUAGCUGGUCUGAGAGGAUGGUCAGCCACACUGGGACUGAGACACGGCCCAGACUCCUACGGGAGGCAGCAGCAAGGGAUAUUGUGCAAUGGGCGAAAGCCUGACACAGCGACGCCGCGUGGGGGAAGAAGGCCUUCGGGUUGUAAACCCCUUUUCUCAGGGAAGAAUGACGGUACCUGAGGAAUAAGUCUCGGCUAACUACGUGCCAGCAGCCGCGGUAAUACGUAGGAGACGAGCGUUAUCCGGAUUUAUUGGGCGUAAAGCGGGCGUAGGCGGCCUUUCAAGUCGGAUGUGAAAUCUCCUGGCUUAACUGGGAGGGGUCAUUCGAAAC
This 493-nucleotide ribosomal RNA is filed under the name uncultured soil bacterium. RNAcentral describes it as "bacterial SSU rRNA". It matches the Rfam family "Bacterial small subunit ribosomal RNA", at positions 102 to 633 of the family's 1533-position model. The record is from RNAcentral.